This 162-nucleotide ribosomal RNA is filed under the name Ixiolirion tataricum. RNAcentral's name for it is "5.8S ribosomal RNA". It matches the Rfam family "5.8S ribosomal RNA". Rfam says of the family: 5.8S ribosomal RNA (5.8S rRNA) is a component of the large subunit of the eukaryotic ribosome. It is transcribed by RNA polymerase I as part of the 45S precursor that also contains 18S and 28S rRNA. The record is from RNAcentral. Lineage: Eukaryota; Viridiplantae; Streptophyta; Magnoliopsida; Asparagales; Ixioliriaceae.
GUAUGACUCUCGGCAACGGAUAUCUCGGCUCUCGCAUCGAUGAAGAACGUAGCGAAAUGCGAUACUUGGUGUGAAUUGCAGAAUCCCGUGAACCAUCGAGUCUUUGAACGCAAGUUGCGCCCGAGGCCAUUCGGUCGAGGGCACGCCUGCCUGGGCGUCACG